Marasmius sp. AFHP31 is the source of this 93-nucleotide non-coding RNA. The record is from the annotation of a GenBank genome assembly. NCBI's taxonomy places the organism in Eukaryota, Fungi, Basidiomycota, Agaricomycetes, Agaricales, Marasmiaceae.
GGCCGCCUGGCGAAAUGGCAUCGCGUCUGACUACGAUGUUGUCGUGGCUCACGUUGUAUCAGGAGAUUGCAGGUUCGACCCCUGCGGUGGUCA